RNAcentral lists this ribosomal RNA (484 nucleotides) under uncultured bacterium. Its description in RNAcentral is "partial 16S ribosomal RNA". It matches the Rfam family "Bacterial small subunit ribosomal RNA", at positions 30 to 507 of the family's 1533-position model. The record is from RNAcentral.
AUUGAACGCUGGCGGCAGGCCUAACAAAUGCAAAUAGAACGAAUGAAGGGAGCUUGCUCCUGGAUUCAGCGGCGGACGGGUGAGUAAUGCCUAGGAAUCUGCCUGGUAGUGGGGGAUAACGUCCGGAACCGGGCGCUAAUACCGCCUACGUCCUGAGGGAGACACUGGGGGAUCUUACGACCUCACGCUAUCAGCUGAGCCUAGGUCGGAUUAGCUAGUUGGUGGGGUAAAGGCCUACCAAGGCGACGAUCCGUAACUGGUCUGAGAGGAUGAUCAGUCACACUGGAACUGAGACACGGGCCAGACUCCUACGGGAGGCAGCAGUGGGGAAUAGUGGACUUGUGUCGAAAGCCUGAUCCAGCCAGGGUGCUUUGUUUGAUAAGGUCUUCGGAUUGUAAAGCUCUUGAAGUUGGGAGGAAGGGCAGUAAGGUUUGUUCGUGCUGUUUUGACUUUACCAACAGAUUAAGCUCCUUUUAACUUCGUG